RNAcentral lists this ribosomal RNA (244 nucleotides) under uncultured bacterium. RNAcentral describes it as "partial 16S ribosomal RNA". It matches the Rfam family "Bacterial small subunit ribosomal RNA", at positions 57 to 305 of the family's 1533-position model. The record is from RNAcentral.
GCAAGUCGAACGGUAACAUUUCUAGCUUGCUAGAAGAUGACGAGUGGCGGACGGGUGAGUAAUACUUAGGAAUAUGCCUUUGUGUGGGGGAUAACCAUUGGAAACGAUGGCUAAUACCGCAUAACGUCUUCGGACCAAAGGGGGCCUUGGCUGCCGCGGAAAGAGGAGCCUAAGCGAGAUUAGCUUGUUGGUGAGGUAAAGGCUCACCAAGGCGACGAUGUCUAGCUGUUCUGAGAGGAAGAUC